ACAGAAGAUAGUUUAAAAAAUAUUAAUUUUGGAAAUUAAAGACAAAGUCUUUUGACUUUUUUUCUG
RNAcentral lists this transfer RNA (66 nucleotides) under Cherax destructor. Its description in RNAcentral is "tRNA-Pro". It matches the Rfam family "tRNA". Rfam says of the family: Transfer RNA (tRNA) molecules are approximately 80 nucleotides in length. The record is from RNAcentral. Lineage: Eukaryota; Metazoa; Arthropoda; Malacostraca; Decapoda; Parastacidae.